UGGGGAAUAUUGCACAAUGGGCGCAAGCCUGAUGCAGCCAUGCCGCGUGUAUGAAGAAGGCCUUCGGGUUGUAAAGUACUUUCAGUCGGGAGGAAGGCGAUAAGGUUAAUAACCUUGUCGAUUGACGUUACCCGCAGAAGAAGCACCGGCUAACUCCGUGCCAGCAGCCGCGGUAAUACGGAGGGUGCAAGCGUUAAUCGGAAUUACUGGGCGUAAAGCGCACGCAGGCGGUCUGUCAAGUCGGAUGUGAAAUCCCCGGGCUUAACCUGGGAACUGCAUUCGAAACUGGCAGGCUAGAGUCUUGUAGAGGGGGGUAGAAUUCCAGGUGUAGCGGUGAAAUGCGUAGAGAUCUGGAGGAAUACCGGUGGCGAAGGCGGCCCCCUGGACAAAGACUGACGCUCAGGUGCGAAAGCGUGGGGAGCAAACAGG
This 429-nucleotide ribosomal RNA is filed under the name Chloroflexota bacterium. RNAcentral describes it as "Chloroflexi bacterium partial 16S ribosomal RNA". It matches the Rfam family "Bacterial small subunit ribosomal RNA", at positions 355 to 776 of the family's 1533-position model. The record is from RNAcentral. Lineage: Bacteria; Bacillati; Chloroflexota.